UCCCUACGGGGGGCAGCAGUGGGGAAUAUUGCACAAUGGGGGAAACCCUGAUGCAGCGACGCCGCGUGAGUGAAGAAGUAUUUCGGUACGUAAAGCUCUAUCAGCAGGGAAGAAAAAAAGUCCUUUGGACUUUGGACGGUACCUGACCAAGAAGCCCCGGCUAACUACGUCCCAGCAGCCGCGGUCAUACGUAGGGGGCAAGCGUUAUCCGGAUUUACUGGUUGUAAAUGUAG
RNAcentral lists this ribosomal RNA (233 nucleotides) under uncultured bacterium. RNAcentral's name for it is "partial 16S ribosomal RNA". It matches the Rfam family "Bacterial small subunit ribosomal RNA", at positions 335 to 569 of the family's 1533-position model. The record is from RNAcentral.